Long non-coding RNA from Lucilia sericata (common green bottle fly), 709 nucleotides. RefSeq lists it as uncharacterized. The record is from RefSeq and is a predicted model, not a curated record. NCBI's taxonomy places the organism in Eukaryota, Metazoa, Arthropoda, Insecta, Diptera, Calliphoridae. The transcript has 3 exons.
UAUCGAACAUGUGUAUUUUAAAUGGAAAGUGCAGUUGAUGUCAAUUCUGCCGACUGCGAAAAGAAAUUCUGCUAGAAUUUUUCGCGCCUUUGGCAGUUUUCUGCAUUUUUUAUUUGCAAAAAAAAUCUGUUGUUGUGUGUGUGUGUGCAAAAAUCUAAAAUGACAGAAAUGAUAUUCUUUAAAUAAAAAAAAUAACUUUUUACUAACAAUUGAAAUUAAUAAGAUUGUAUGCUAUACUACUAUACCGAGGGUCAUUGUGCAAAGAAAUAGCGGAGUUUGUUUUCGUUUAAUACCCAAAAGUGUUUAUUGAAAUCUAGAUUUGGCAUAUUUGUGAGAUCUAGAAGAUUAAAAAUAAAGAGGAGGCAUCAUGAUGGUCUCCUGGAAGAAUGCCCACAAGAGAGUGGCAAUUGUAUACCUCCCUAGUCACCUAGGCGGGUGGUGGUCGGUCGGCUAGUGGUGACAUGGUAUAUUAUCACCUAGAGGCAAUGGACGGAAGCAGAUUGCCGUAUUCACGGGGUAUCCUUGGGGUACAUACUUAUUAUUAUACCAUUGAUCUCAGUAGAAUCACUACCAUACACCCAGUGGAGCUCUUGUUGUCUCCAAACACUAUGGUGGCCGAAUAUUUACAAGAAACGAUUGUUAAGCCGCCUUUUAUACAAAUUUCCAGCUUUGUAGAGAAUGUCUUCACGGACCUAGAGGAUAUAACCUG